GUGUGUGUAAUUUAAAAAAAAUACCAAGCUGUGACCNUUGACAAUAGGAAACACCCUCGCACACCN
This 66-nucleotide transfer RNA is filed under the name Hydrophis ornatus (reef sea snake). RNAcentral's name for it is "tRNA-His". RNAcentral also lists the same sequence under 1 other name. Lineage: Eukaryota; Metazoa; Chordata; Lepidosauria; Squamata; Elapidae. The record is from RNAcentral.